This 253-nucleotide ribosomal RNA is filed under the name uncultured bacterium. Its description in RNAcentral is "partial 16S ribosomal RNA". It matches the Rfam family "Bacterial small subunit ribosomal RNA", at positions 80 to 334 of the family's 1533-position model. The record is from RNAcentral.
UUUCUUUGCUGGCGACCGGCGCACGGGUGAGUAACACGUAUCCAACCUGCCUCAUACUCGGGGAUAGCCUUUCGAAAGAAAGAUUAAUAUCCGAUAGCAUAUAUUUCCCGCAUGGGUUUUAUAUUAAAGAAAUUCGGUAUGAGAUGGGGAUGCGUUCCAUUAGUUUGUUGGGGGGGUAACGGCCCACCAAGACUACGAUGGAUAGGGGUUCUGAGAGGAAGGUCCCCCACAUUGGAACUGAGACACGGUCCAA